This 3310-nucleotide long non-coding RNA is filed under the name Gallus gallus (chicken). RNAcentral describes it as "lncRNA (ENSGALG00010010103.1)". Lineage: Eukaryota; Metazoa; Chordata; Aves; Galliformes; Phasianidae. The record is from RNAcentral.
CCCCCCUCCCCCCCACGGUGGCACAGAGAAGGCGCACAGCCGCACUCGUGGAAAAGGACUUUAAUUUGGGGAGGGGUCCGACUGCCACCCUCAGCCCCCCAUCCUCCCCACACCAAAAUGUCCGAAGGUGGAGAGCGGUGGGAAGAACCCAACGUGAAGAGCAACGGGAAAAGCCAACGUGAAGGGUGAGGUGUGCCACCCAAUGUGGGGCAAUGGGGCACCCAAUGGGGGGCAAUGGGGUAACCAAUGUGGGGCAAUGGGGUAACCAACGUGGGGAAAAUGGGGCAACUAACCUGAGCAAUGGGUCAACCAAUGUAGGGCAAUGGGGCACCCAACAUGGCACAUUGAGGGAACCCUACAUGGGGCACUGGGGCACCCAACGUGGGGCAAUGGGGUAACCAACGUGGGGCAAUGGGGCACCCAAUGGGGGGCAAUGGGGUAACCAAUGUGGGGCAAUGGGGUAACCCUACAUGGGGCAAUGGGGUAACCGAGGUGGGGCAAUGGGGCACCCAACGUGGGCAAUGGGAGAACCAACAUGGCACAAUGGGGCACCCAACGUGGGGAAAAUGGGGCAACUAACCUGAGCAAUGGGUCAACCAAUGUAGGGCAAUGGGGCACCCAACAUGGCACAUUGAGGGAACCCUACAUGGGGCACUGGGGCACCCAACGUGGGGCAAUGGGGCACCCAAUGGGGGGCAAUGGGGUAACCAAUGUGGGGCAAUGGGGUUACCAACGUGGGGCAAUGGGGCACCCAAUGGGGGGCAAUGGGGUAACCAACAUGGGGCAAUGGGGCAACCAACCUGAGCAAUGGGAGAGCCCCAUAUGGGGCAAUGGGGCACCCAACCUGAGCAAUGGGAGAACCAACAUGGCACAAUGGGGCAACCAACCUGAGCAAUGGGACAACCCUAUAUGGGGCAACGGGGCAACCAAGAUGGCGCAAUGGGACACCCAACAUGGGGCAAUGGGGUAACCCUACAUGAGGCAAUGGGACAGCCAACGUGGGGCAAUGGGGUAACCCUACAUGAGGCAAUGGGACAGCCAACGUGGGGCAAUGGCAAAACCCCAUAUGGGGCAAUGGGGCACCCAACCUGAGCAAUGAGGUACCCAACAUGGCACAAUGAGAGAACCUUACAUGGGGCAAUGGGGUAACCAACGUGGGGCAGUGGGGUAACCAAUGUGGGGCAGGGGGAGAACCCAACAGAAAGAGCAAUGGGGCACCCAACAUGGGGUAGUGGGAGAACCAACGUGAGGCAAUGGAGCAACCAACCUGAGCAAUGGGGCAACCCUACAUGGGGCAAUGGGGCACCCAACAUGGCGCAAUGGGGUACCCAACCUGAGUAAUGGGGCAACCAACAUGGCGCAAUGGGGCAACCCUACCUGGGGCGAUGGGACAACCAACCUGAGCAAUGGGACACGCAACGUGGGGCAAUGGGAUGACCCCAUACGGGGUAAUGGGACAACCAACAUGGGGCAAUGGGACAACGAACAUGGGGCAAUGGAUGACCCCACAUGGGGCAAUGGGACAACCAACAUGGGGAGAUGGGACGACCAACAUGGGGCGAUGGGAUGACCCCACAUGGGGCGAUGGGACGACCAACAUGGGGCGAUGGGAUGACCCCACAUGGGGCAAUGGGACAACCAACAUGGGGCGAUGGGAUGACCCCACAUGGGGCAAUGGGACAACCAACAUGGGGCGAUGGGAUGACCCCACAUGGGGCGAUGGGACGACCAACAUGGGGCAAUGGGAUGACCCCACAUGGGGCGAUGGGACGACCAACAUGGGGCAAUGGGAUGACCCCACAUGUGGCAAUGGGACAACCAACAUGGGGCGAUGGGACGACCAACAUGGCGCAAUGGAAGAACCCAACAUGGGGCAAUGGGAUGACCCCAUAUGGGGUAAUGGGACAACCAAUAUGGCGCAAUGGGACGACCAGCAUGGGGCGAUGGGAUGACCCCACAUGGGGCGACGGGACAACCAACAUGGGGCAAUGGAAGAACCCUACAUGGGGCAAUGGAAGAACCCUACAUGGGGUGAUGGGACACCCAACCUGAGCAGUGGGGCAAUCCUACACGGGGCAAUGGGACGACCCUACAUGGGGAAUGGGACAACCAACAUGGGGCAAUGGGGCAACCAAUGUGGGGCAAUGGGAAAACCCCAUAUGGGGCAAUGGGGCACUCAGUGUGGGGCAAUGGGAGGACCCAACAUGGGGCAAUGGGGCAACCAACGUGGCGCAAUGGGACAACCCUACAUGGGGCGAUGGGACAACCAACCUGAGCAAUGGGACACGCAACGUGGGCAAUGGGAUGACCUCAUACGGGGUAAUGGGACAACCAACAUGGGGCAAUGGGACAACGAACAUGGGGCAAUGGGAUGACCCCACAUGGGGCAAUGGGACAACCAACAUGGGGCAAUGGGAUGACCCCACAUGGGGCAAUGGGACAACCAACAUGGGGUGAUGGGACAACUAACGUGGCACAAUGGAAGAACCCAACAUGGGGCAAUGGGAUGACCCCUUAUGGGGUAAUGGGACAACCAAUAUGGCGCAGUGGGACGACCAACAUGGGGCGAUGGGAUGACCCCACAUGGGGCGAUGGGACAACCAACAUGGGGCGAUGGGACAACCAACAUGGGGCAAUGGAAGAACCCUACAUGGGGUGAUGGGACACCCAACCUGAGCAGUGGGGCAAUCCUACAUGGGGCAAUGGGACGACCCUACAUGGGGCAAUGGGGCAACCAACAUGGGGCAAUGGGGCAACCAAUGUGGGGCAAUGGGAAAACCCCAUAUGGGGCAAUGGGGCACUCAAUGUGGGGCAAUGGGAAAACCCCAUAUGGGGCAAUGGGGCACUCAAUGUGGGGCAAUGGGAGGACCCAACAUGGGGCAAUGGGGCAACCAAUGUGGGGCAAUGGGGCACCCAACGUGAGCAAUGGGGCAACCAACGUGGCGCAAUGGGACAACCCUACAUGGGGCGAUGGGAGAACCAACAUGGGGCAAUGGGAUGACCCAACACAAAGAGGAAUGGGGAAACCCAAUGAGAGGAGGAAUGGGAUAACCUAAAACAAAGAGCAAUGGGGAACCCCAAUGAGAAGAGCCAUGGGAUAACCUAAAACAAAGAGGAAUGGGAAACCCCAAUGAGAAAAGGAAUGGGAUAAACCAAUAGAGAGGAAUGGGAAACCCCAAUGAGAAGAGGAAUGGGAAACCCAAUGAGGAGCCAUGGGAUAACCUAAAACAAAGAGGAAUGGGAAAACCCAAUGAGAGGAGGAAUGGGAUAACCUAAAACAAAGAGCAAUGGGAAACCCCAAUGAGAAGAG